This 497-nucleotide ribosomal RNA is filed under the name uncultured bacterium. RNAcentral describes it as "partial 16S ribosomal RNA". It matches the Rfam family "Bacterial small subunit ribosomal RNA", at positions 28 to 507 of the family's 1533-position model. The record is from RNAcentral.
GAUGAACGCUGGCGGCGUGCCUAAUACAUGCAAGUCGAGCGAACGGACGAGAAGCUUGCUUCUCUGAUGUUAGCGGCGGACGGGUGAGUAACACGUGGAUAACCUACCUAUAAGACUGGGAUAACUUCGGGAAACCGGAGCUAAUACCGGAUAAUAUUUUGAACCGCAUGGUUCAAAAGUGAAAGACGGUCUUGCUGUCACUUAUAGAUGGAUCCGCGCUGCAUUAGCUAGUUGGUAAGGUAACGGCUUACCAAGGCUACGAUGCAUAGCCGACCUGAGAGGGUGAUCGGCCACACUGGAACUGAGACACGGUCCAGACUCCUACGGGAGGCAGCAGUAGGGAAUCUUCCGCAAUGGGCGAAAGCCUGACGGAGCAACGCCGCGUGAGUGAUGAAGGUCUUCGGAUCGUAAAACUCUGUUAUUAGGGAAGAACAUAUGUGUAAGUAACUGUGCACAUCUUGACGGUACCUAAACAGAAAGCCACGGCUAACUACGUG